UACAGAGGUCCCGAGCGUUGUUCGGAUUCAUUGGGCGUAAAGGGUGCGUAGGCGGCGGGGCAAGUCUGAUGUGAAAUCCCGGGGCUCAACCCCGGAACUGCAUUGGAUACUGCCUUGCUUGAGUACUGGAGAGGGAACUGGAAUUUACGGUGUAGCAGUGAAAUGCGUAGAGAUCGUAAGGAAGGCCAGUGGCGAAGGCGAGUUCCUGGACAGUUACUGACGCUGAGGCACGGAGGCCAGGGGAGCAAACGGG
This 253-nucleotide ribosomal RNA is filed under the name uncultured bacterium. Its description in RNAcentral is "partial 16S ribosomal RNA". It matches the Rfam family "Bacterial small subunit ribosomal RNA", at positions 524 to 776 of the family's 1533-position model. The record is from RNAcentral.